GACGAACGCUGGCGGCGUGCUUAACACAUGCAAGUCGAGCGGUAAGGCCCUUUCGGGGGUACACGAGCGGCGAACGGGUGAGUAACACGUGGGUGACCUGCCCUCAGCUCUGGGAUAAGCCUGGGAAACUGGGUCUAAUACUGGAUAUGACUCCACGGUGCAUGUCGUGGGGUGGAAAGCCUUGUGCGGCUGAGGAUGGGCCCGCGGCCUAUCAGCUUGUUGGUGGGGUGANGGCCUACCAAGGCGACGACGGGUAGCCGGCCUGAGAGGCGACCGGCCACACUGGGACUGAGACACGGCCCAGACUCCUACGGGAGGCAGCAGUGGGGAAUCUUGCGCAAUGGGCGAAAGCCUGACGCAGCGACGCCGCGUGAGGGAUGACGGCCUGGU
Molecule: ribosomal RNA, 390 nt
Filed under: uncultured bacterium
Lineage: Bacteria
Description: bacterial SSU rRNA
Rfam family: Bacterial small subunit ribosomal RNA
Source: RNAcentral